UAAAUAUAUAUCCUUUCCUUAAAAUUUAGUGUGGAUUCUUAAUCACUCCAUCCUUUAGGAUAUAAUUAUGCUUUUAUAGUAAAUUUAAUUUCAACUGAUUCUAAGGAGAAUCCAUUUUCUAAAUUUUUCUAGCUUUCUAAGACGAAUGAUUGCAUAACAAAGGAAAGCUCUUUAUAUAUGGCAUCCCCUGCCCUUUCUUGCCUUUUCCGAGUUUUCACUGUUGAAUUUCUAUUUCUAUCAAAAGGCUGCUAUAAGUCAGCUUUUUGCUUGGCUACAUAUUCCUGUGUCACAUGAAAUAAAAGCCACCAUGACUUGUACUGUGUUUAGCUGGAAGCAUCUCCAUUAAUGUAAUAGAAAGAAAAGUGUGAGGAAUAAAAUUGGAACACUUCCUUAUUCAAGUCUCCAAGAAGCCAUAGCUGUACUUUGCUGACAUGGUGCUGGUAGAAGAAAUGGAGGACUAGGAAAGUAGAUGCUGUCUCAUCUACUUCUAUGCUCUUGGAGAUAUUCUCGUAGGGAGGAGAAUUUAGGGAAGCUACACCCUUCCCAGAUCUGCACCACAGACUGCAGUGGCACCCUUUCAGCAGCCGCAGACUGCAUACACACACUUACUAUGCCUGACACCUAAAGAAGACACGUGUCAGAACACUGCACUCUGCACCUCACCAUUAUAACUAGUCUCAGGGCUAAAUCUGAAUUAUUUUAUACAGGGUUGGAUUAUGUCAUAACCCCUGAAAACACUAUGACUUUUACCAGAUGUUUCUGAAAAGCAAGCAGUCUGCACCCUCCAAAACCAAAAACAUACUUUAAAAUGGGAAAUCAGUGCUAACUAUGCCUGCCUUUCCUCUGAAGUACCAAGAUCUAUUUGGUUUUAUGUAAUUAUUCAAUCGUGUGUUUCAAGAAACUGUAAUCUAAAACUCCACUUUGAGAGCAUUUGAAUCCCUUAGCAACCUUUUUUUACUAUGGUAGUCAAGUUUCCUGACUGCAUGUCCCCAGACAUCUAGACCUCCAUAAUCUCCUCCUCUAUAACACUCAGGCUCUGGUAACUGCUAUUUACAAAAAUAUAUUGGAAUAUGAUUGCUUUACAGUAAAACCAAAAAUACCUGUGCAAUUUCACAUUCUAAAGGAGCUAUUUCCUUGAUAUUAGUUCCAUCAAACAAAUCAAUUUAUACUAGUGACAGUGUAUUUAUUUACCCUAAAAUAUAUUUAAUACCAACUAUGUCAUUCAUUGUGUCUAUAGGCUAGCUUGCCAUAAUUUCUGUAAGAAUUCAUCUAGAGAAAUAGAUAUUUGCCAUUUCUCUAGGUAUAUUUUUAUGAAUAGUUUAGCCUCUUCUGUUCACUCUCAACUACACAUUGGAGAUUUAUUUUAAGGAUCCUGGGGCUAAUAUUUUAACAUUUUUUUUCUCUUUACUAAUAACACAGGUGACACUAACUUGACUUUUGCCUUUUGUCACAAUCCUGCCCACCACAGUGAUCAAAAUGAAUAGACUGUUCUUUUCUUUCUGUGCUCCUUCAUCAAAUAUAUAUUGAAUGCCCACCACUCCAAGGGUUGUGCUAGGGAUUGGAUAUACAAAUAGAAACUGCAUCUUGCUCUUGACCCUGAGAAGUUCACAGUUUAACAAGGGAAGCUCAUAUUGUUGUAAUAAUAGUGCACAUAACGUGCUAUGGAACAUAGAGGAAAGAUCCUUGACAGAUGUUUUGUACACUGCUUGCUGGAGACUUCAUGAACCAAUACCUUUCUGGACAUACAUAUAACUUUGUAUUGAAUUUAUUACUCCCACCUGCAAUAAGCUUCUUUGUUUCUUCUCUUCAAAGCAUAUAUCUAUCUAUGAAGAUGGAUUUCUAUAGAAGGAAGUGAAUUGUUUGUUGGAGAAACAAGAAUAAAUAGCCUUUACCUUGAACAUACUUUGAAGGAAGCUGAAUUCUGUAACCUCUGUUUCAGUUCAGUUGGGGAAUUUUAAAAGUCUGGCCUCACAUGUGUCUGAUCCAAGUGAAGACUUGGAAUCCUAUUCGAGGUGCAAAAUAUCAGACUCUACUUCUGCCUCCCCUCUUCUCUUUUCUUAGUUCUUUUCUUGCCCUCACUUAUAUGAUUACCUGCCCUCACUUAUAUGAUUACCUGCCAUCGCCUCUCUAGAUGCUCCUGAAGGGGGCUUGUCGUAGUCCAGCCCUUCCUACAACCCUCCUUCAAUCUGGUGAGCCACCUUAGGGAAAUCUCUGAGCACACAUGAGUCUAUCCUUGAGAAAACAACUGACUAAAAAUGUUGUCCAUUUAAAUGAGACUUUCUUUCUAUGCCUGUUGUGAACCUUUCCAAUCCUGAAAGUCAUGGAUGCCCUCUGUCUGCCCCGCUUUAAUUCCAUUAGAGCAGUUGCACUGGGAAGGUACAAGGUAUCUUCAUCAAGAUAUCCAAGGCUUUUUGAAUCUUUCAUUAGACAAAUCUUUGUCAGUGUAGCCACCAUCUUCCCUGGUUUCUUUUGAAUUUCCCCAGUACUAUAAUCCAUCAAACAUUUAUUGCCAUAGCAUCCUGCCAAGAGGAUUUUAAGGUACCUGUAUGGUUGUGCCAUUCAUUCUUUCUGAAGCUAAAGGCUUGCAUAUAUUUAGUCCUCAAUUGUCCUGCAGGCCAGGUGUGGACUAAAUAAAUAAAUAAGAUCCAUUGUUUCUGCAAAUGGGGUAGGUUAAUGGAAGAAGGUGGAGGAAAUCUCAAAACUUUUGGAAUGCUUAGAGGAUAACGGAGUGCUGUCUCAUGUCCUUCAUGCAUUUUGAAAAUGUUUUCUUUAAAGACACAUAGUGUCUUUAACUGAGUUACUUCUAUACACUAUUCUUGGAUUUUUUCUUAACCUCUACUCUCCACUCACCCACUUUCACUUGUUAAGUGGCUAGUUUUCAGAUUUUAGUUGUUUCUACUUCUCAUCUCCAAAAAACUGUACAAUCUAGAGGGGAAAAGUAACACACACACACACACACACACACACACACACUGUAAAAAUAAGGCUAUUACCCAAGCAUUCUCCAGGAGUUUACAUACAUAUCUAUUCAGUAUGGAGAGAAACAUUCACAUUUUGUGUUUUGGUUUGAUAGUUAUUUGAAUCCUUCAUAUAAAAUUUUAAUAAUUAUCUGUUUUGGUAUUUUUGAGUGAUUUUUUUCCUCUUAUUUUGUAGUAAGGUAUUCCAAGGAAGUAAGUAAAGGCACAUUUUCCAGUGAAAUAUUGGACUUUGUAUGUUAGUAGUCUUGUCUUUUGUAAGAGACUGAACAGAAAGAAGCAAGGUUUAAGGGAAAAGUUGCUUUGGGUAUUUCAUCCAGACCUGCUAGCAACAUGUCGAGGAGAAAGAGGCAGGCGACUCAUUGCAGCAGUCAUGGCUGUUCACUCCCAGCAUAAAUCAGUGGCGAUUUCUCUUCCCACUUUUCUGUCUCUUAACUCAGGAGUCUCUUUGGCAUUUGGACCCUUGUCUUACACAUGAGGGAAGAGGCAAUAUCAUGGGCUUUAGUUGUGGAAUUUUCUAUUCACUUUGCAUGGUGUUUUUUACUCUUCCAAGCCCUACUCCAACCACAUUUUUUUCAAGAUUUUUAUUUCACCAGGAUUUUUCCAGGGUGCUUCAGGACUAAUAUCACCAAGUAUUCACCAGGUGAAGCACCUAAACAAAGAUUUAAGGAAAAUAAACUAUUAAAACCUCCUUAGGUCCACAACCCUAAAUGAGAGUUGCCCAUGGGGAGAAAUCCUAUGAUCCUGGAAUCAGUCUAAUAGCCUUUCUGCCUCUUCCCUUGGUCCUGCCAUCCAUUGUCAUGUCAUAAUGAUAACAAGAGAUGAUGCCCUCCAGCCUUUACAUUGCAUACUCCAGCCUCCCAACAUAUAACAUCAUCUCGAAACUAGAUAUUUUCCUCAGUUCUUCCCAGUGGCACAGGAAAAUUCUUUCCAAAAUAACAGGAUUAAACUAAGGGAAUAGAUCUAGGUCCUUGACCAAAGGUUACACUAGCUGUAUUAGUGCUUAUAGACUCGUCUUUCACUAGUACCAUACAGAGUAUGGAGAAAAGCUCUGGACAUGCAGAAGGAACAUUCCACUGCCCUGUGGCCUCUUUGAAUGACCUCUGACAGACAGUCACAUUCAGUCCAACUUUUUGGGAUAUGGAUGGGCAUCUGCCUAGUCAUAUUUUUCGUUACAGUCAAGUCCUACUCCAAAGGUUUUACCUGAACCAUUAACAUAGUCUCUUUUCUUUGAAUGGCAGCAUCAAUGUGUAAUCUUAUCCAGCCUUAAAUAUUCUUGCAAAAAAUACCAAACCUUGAUAAAAGUAGAAUCUUCAUAUUGUGAGAGGGAUUUUUUGUUUGGUGAGGCCUGAGAUCAAAAAUUUUCUUCUUCUGAAUUUGGCAUGCAUCCUGAUACCCUACGGUGUCUUGAGCAGGCACUUCCCUGGCUGACUAGCCUAGGGCCUGAAGUCGGCUGUGUAUAAAUGAAUGCACAUAGUCACAUUCCAAUAAAACCUGGCUUGUAAGGGCAGGAAAUAAUUCAGAUUUAGUUCUUGGAAUUUAAUUUCUUAGUCCCAAAGGUAGAACAUUAUAAUGUCCAUUUCAAAUGAGAAAUUAAUCUCCCUCUGGCAUGUUUGGGGCCUUCUUUUAUGAAAAGUGAGAGAGCAAGGAAAAUUAAUUCUAAGUAAAUAAUCAACAUGCCCCCAAUAUAACUAUAUAUACAUAUAUAUAAAUGUUAGAAUAUUUAUUAUGGAAAAAGCACAAAAAAGCAAAAUAGAUCGUCUCCUAUGUGGAUCUGCUGGAGUUUCCCUUUGGAUCUUCUAAUUUUUGUUCCUGUAACAGAGACCUAAGUGAUGUUGUCUCAUUCCAAGUCAAUUUUGUAGGUCACAUAACAUGUCUUAAUACACUGUAUGGAAAAAAUUAAAGUUAGUUUUAGAUUUCUUUGUUUUCUAUGGUUAUUGUUGUACAGAAGAAAGACAUAAACUGUAAAUAAUGUAUAUUUAAUAAAGAGAGACUUUUGUAUGAUUUUAUGUGGAAG
This 4992-nucleotide long non-coding RNA is filed under the name Heterocephalus glaber (naked mole-rat). RNAcentral describes it as "lncRNA (ENSHGLG00100042944.1)". The record is from RNAcentral. Lineage: Eukaryota; Metazoa; Chordata; Mammalia; Rodentia; Bathyergidae.